UGAGGAAUAUUGGUCAAUGGGCGCAAGCCUGAACCAGCCAUGCCGCGUGCAGGAUGAAGGCAUUAUGUGUCGUAAACUGCUUUUGUAUGGGAAGAAACCCUGAUACGUGUAUCAGGUUGACGGUACCAUAAGAAUAAGGAUCGGCUAACUCCGUGCCAGCAGCCGCGGUAAUACGGAGGAUCCAAGCGUUAUCCGGAUUUAUUGGGUUUAAAGGGUGCGUAGGCGGGAUAUUAAGUCAGAGGUGAAAUCUUGCGGCUCAACCGUAAUAUUGCCUUUGAUACUGAUGUUCUUGAGUACAGUUGAGGUAGGCGGAAUGUGUGGUGUAGCGGUGAAAUGCUUAGAUAUCACACAGAACACCGAUUGCGGAGGCAGCUUACUAAGCUGUUACUGACGCUGAGGCACGAAAGCGUGGGGAUCAAACAGG
RNAcentral lists this ribosomal RNA (424 nucleotides) under uncultured bacterium. Its description in RNAcentral is "bacterial SSU rRNA". It matches the Rfam family "Bacterial small subunit ribosomal RNA", at positions 355 to 776 of the family's 1533-position model. The record is from RNAcentral.